CCUACGGUCGGCAGCAGUGGGGGAUAUUGCACAAUGGGGGAAACCCUGAUGCAGCGACGCCGCGUGUGGGAAGACGGUCCUCUGGAUUGUAAACCACUGUCCCCAGGGACGAAGAUGACGGUACCUGGGAGGAAGCCCCGGCUAAAUACGUGCCAGCAGCCGCGGGUAUACGUAGGGAGCGAGCGGUUUCCGGAAUUACGUGGGGUUAAGGGAGCGUAGGCGGGACUGCAAGUUGGGUGUCAAAUCUACCGGCUCAACCGGUAGCCGCACUCAAAACUGCAGUUCUUGAGUGAAGUAGAGGCAGGCGGAAGUCCUAGUGUAGCGGUGAAAUGCGUAGAGAUUAGGAGGAACACCAGUGGCGAAGGCGGCCUGCUGGGCUUUUACUGACGCUGAGGCUCGAAAGUGUGGGGAGCAAACAGGAUUAGAUACCCGAGUAGUC
This 439-nucleotide ribosomal RNA is filed under the name uncultured bacterium. Its description in RNAcentral is "partial 16S ribosomal RNA". It matches the Rfam family "Bacterial small subunit ribosomal RNA", at positions 338 to 795 of the family's 1533-position model. The record is from RNAcentral.